Unclassified non-coding RNA from Macaca fascicularis (crab-eating macaque), 117 nucleotides. It matches the Rfam family "Metazoan signal recognition particle RNA". From Rfam's summary of the family: The signal recognition particle (SRP) is a universally conserved ribonucleoprotein. It is involved in the co-translational targeting of proteins to membranes. The record is from Ensembl. NCBI's taxonomy places the organism in Eukaryota, Metazoa, Chordata, Mammalia, Primates, Cercopithecidae.
GCCGGGCAUGAUGGCUCACGCCUGUAAUCCCAGCACUUUGGGAGGCCGAGGUGGGCGGAUCACUUGAGGCCAGGAGUUCGAGACCAGCCUGGCCAACACAGUGAAACCCCACCUCUA